RNAcentral lists this ribosomal RNA (1296 nucleotides) under Triticum aestivum (bread wheat). RNAcentral describes it as "partial small subunit ribosomal RNA". The record is from RNAcentral. Lineage: Eukaryota; Viridiplantae; Streptophyta; Magnoliopsida; Poales; Poaceae.
AUGGCUUCUGCUGCCCGCGUGCUGGCGCCAAUGGCGCUGCUGCUCUCGCUCGUGCUCCAGCUCGCGGCGGCGGCCGCCGCGGUGUCGCCUCCCGGUCCCAGCCCCACCUUCCCGGGCGACAAGGCCGCGCUGGCGUCGCUGAAAUCCGCCGUGGACGCGGCCACCAUCCCAUCCUACUCCUGCCUCGCCUCGUGGGACUUCGCCCGCGACCCCUGCGCCGCCUUCCCCUGCGGCGUCCACUGCAACACGCCCCCCAACUCGUCUCACCAGCGCGUCGCCGGCGUCUCCCUCGACCCCGCGGGGUACUCCGGCACGCUCCCGGCGCCCGUCCUCGCCUCGCUCCCUUUCCUCCAGACCCUCUCCCUCCGUGGCAACAGCUUCCACGGCUCGCUGCCGGCGGGGGUGGCGCUGCCUCCGAGCCUCCGCGUCCUCGUCCUCUCCGGCAACGACUUCACCGGCGAGAUACCGGCGUCCCUCUUCACCCCGGCCUCGUCGCUCGACGAGCUCGACCUCUCCCGCAACGCGUUCACCGGAGGGAUACCGCCUCAGAUCGCGUCCUUGGGCUCCCUGACGCGAAUGGAGCUGCAGCACAACCGCCUCAGCGGGAGCCUGCCGUCGAUGGGCAAGAUGCGCUCGCUCGUCCACCUCGACGUCAGCGACAACAAGCUGUCCGGCCCGGUGCUGGACGCGCCCGGGCGGCUGCCUCCGACGGUCCUGGCCGUCGUGGCGCGUGACAACAGGCUCUCUGGGCCGUUGCAAGCUGCGGCCUUCCACGCUCUCCCUGAGAUGCAGGUGCUGGACCUCACCAACAAUGCGGUCACCGGCGCGGUCCCCGGCGCCGCGUUCGAACACCCGGCGCUGGCGCAGCUGCGGCUGGGAUCCAACCAGCUCGGGACGGUGGAGGAGGCGUCGAACGGCGUCGCGUCGAGCCAGCUCCUGGAGGUGGACCUCAGCGGCAACAGAAUCACGGGGCGGCUGCCCAGGUGCCUCGGGGCGAUUCCGCGUCUCAGGACGGUGGGGCUCGACCGGAACCGGUUCGUCGGAGGCGUGCCGAAGCAGUACGCCGUUCGCGCCGCGGCGGUGGAGGUCGUCGACGGGAAGGCGCCGUUUGCGAGGCUGAUGCUGCAGGGGAACUACCUCUGCGGAGCCCUGCCGCGUGAGCUGAGGCAGAUGAAGGAGGGCGGUGUUAUGGUGAGCCUGGCGGACAACUGCUUGCUCAAGUGCCCGCACAAGUUCUUCUUCUGCCAGGGGCCGCCGCAGAAGAACCGUGACACAUGUCCCAAGUGCGAACCAUGA